Molecule: ribosomal RNA, 432 nt
Filed under: uncultured bacterium
Lineage: Bacteria
Description: partial 16S ribosomal RNA
Rfam family: Bacterial small subunit ribosomal RNA
Source: RNAcentral
AACGAACGCUGGCGGCAUGCCUAACACAUGCGAGUCGAACGAGACCUUCGGGUCUAGUGGCGCACGGGUGCGUAACGCGUGGGAACCUGCCCUUAGGUUCGGAAUAACUCCCCGAAAGGGGUGCUAAUACCGGAUAAUGUCUUCGGACCAAAGAUUUAUCGCCUUUGGAUGGGCCUGCGUUGGAUUAGCUAGUUGGUAGGGUAAAGCCUACCAAGGCGACGAUCCAUAGCUGGUCUGAGAGGAUGAUCAGCCACACUGGGACUGAGACACGGCCCAGACUCCUACGGGAGGCAGCAGUGGGGAAUAUUGGACAAUGGGCGAAAGCCUGAUCCAGCAAUGCCGCGUGAGUGAUGAAGGCCUUAGGGUUGUAAAGCUCUUUUACCCGGGAUGAUAAUGACAGUACCGGGAGAAUAAGCUCCGGCUAACUCCGUG